RNAcentral lists this long non-coding RNA (260 nucleotides) under Linum usitatissimum (flax). Its description in RNAcentral is "long non-coding RNA (LUSI_LNC004268)". Lineage: Eukaryota; Viridiplantae; Streptophyta; Magnoliopsida; Malpighiales; Linaceae. The record is from RNAcentral.
CCACUCAAAUUUCUAAAACCCUGAACUUAGAAUUUCAAUAAUUUCUUCGUUUCACAUCUCUGCUCCUCCACCAUCACAAUCCAGAGCCUUUGGCGUUAAAAAUCCUCCCCAAAUUAUCUCUGCAAGUUACCCAAUUAUUAUGAUUGAUAAAAUGAAAUUAGGAUUCUAAGUUAGAAUGAUGAAUUUUGAAGAAGAAGUAAAAGCACAUGAGGAUGAUCUUAUGCAAGCGAAACGUCGACCUAAGCCCCACUUCAGAUCAG